This 371-nucleotide ribosomal RNA is filed under the name uncultured organism. Its description in RNAcentral is "bacterial SSU rRNA". It matches the Rfam family "Bacterial small subunit ribosomal RNA", at positions 526 to 896 of the family's 1533-position model. The record is from RNAcentral.
CAGAGACUGCAAGCGUUAUUCGGAUUCACUGGGCGUAAAGGGUGCGCAGGCGGCCAAGUGUGUGAGGCGUGAAAGCCCGGGGCUUAACCCCGGAAUUGCACCUCAAACUACAUGGCUAGAGCAUUGGAGAGGGUAGCAGAAUUCAUGGUGUAGCAGUGAAAUGCGUAGAUAUCAUGAGGAAUACCAGAGGCGAAGGCGGCUACCUGACAAUUGCUGACGCUCAGGCACGAAAGCGUGGGGAGCAAAAGGGAUUAGAUACCCCUGUAGUCCACGCCCUAAACGGUGCACACUAGGUCUUGGCGGAUUCGACCCCACCAGGGCCCAAGCUAACGCGUUAAGUGUGCCGCCUGAGGACUACGGCCGCAAGGCUA